CAGAAACUUCCGGUUACCGUACGAUAUCCGAAGUUAAGCAGCAUCAAGUUUGGUCAGUAUCUAGAUGGGUGAUCGCUUGGGAAUACCAGGUGCUGUAA
Acanthosepion pharaonis is the source of this 98-nucleotide non-coding RNA. Lineage: Eukaryota; Metazoa; Mollusca; Cephalopoda; Sepiida; Sepiidae. The record is from the annotation of a GenBank genome assembly.